CCUACGGGAGGCAGCAGUGAGGAAUAGUGGUCAAUGGGCGCGAGCCUGAACCAGCCAAGUAGCGUGAAGGAUGACUGCCCUACGGGUUGUAAACUUCUUUUAUAAAGGAAUAAAGUGAGGCACGUGUGCCUUUUUGUAUGUACUUUAUGAAUAAGGAUCGGCUAACUCCGUGCCAGCAGCCGCGGUAAUACGGAGGAUCCGAGCGUUAUCCGGAUUUAUUGGGUUUAAAGGGAGCGUAGCUGGGUUGUUAAGGCAGUUGUGAAAGUUGGCGGCUCACCCGGAAAAUUGCAAUUGAUACGGGCAGUCUUGUGUACAGUUGAGUUAGGCGUCAUUCUUGUUGUAGCGG
RNAcentral lists this ribosomal RNA (346 nucleotides) under uncultured bacterium. Its description in RNAcentral is "partial 16S ribosomal RNA". It matches the Rfam family "Bacterial small subunit ribosomal RNA", at positions 338 to 681 of the family's 1533-position model. The record is from RNAcentral.